RNA transcript from Hemicordylus capensis (graceful crag lizard), 1820 nucleotides. RefSeq lists it as uncharacterized. The transcript has 5 exons. The record is from RefSeq and is a predicted model, not a curated record. Lineage: Eukaryota; Metazoa; Chordata; Lepidosauria; Squamata; Cordylidae.
GGCAGAACCAAGCUUGGAGGACCAUUAAAAGGGAGGGAAAACUCGAACCUGCCUUUAGAGUUUCCCAAACCUGGGAUGGAGGAUUGUCUGUGAUGCGACCCCCAGUUUAGAAGUUUAACUGCAAACUGCAGUUCUAAGCCUGUUCCUGCUAUGUCUGAAUGUGAACAUAGUGUCUCUGUGCCUCCCUGCCUCCUCAUCUACUUAAUCAGAGGGCCCUUCCAUUUUGGUACCCAGUACAUCUUUGGAAGGCAAGCUGCAUUCAAAAUCAAGAUUGUUAAGGAAGAGUAAAGAGUUGCAUUCUGAUGCCCAAGAAUCCUGGGGAGUGUUUCAUCCAGAUGCACUAAGCGACUACAGAGAAGGCCCAUUCCCGAGUUGCUACCAGACAAGCUGAUCUCUCUCAGUGUGCAGUGGGGAUCAUGCAGAAGAAGGCACUCUCCCAGAUACUUCUGCUUCACUCCAUAACUGGGGGGAUGCAAGAUGCAUUUAGAAAACUGAGAUGCCCCUGCUUCCGACUUAUAAGCCAAGUUUGUUCUUCCAGUAGCUGUACAGUCUCCAGCCCUGGUUGCUCAGCUGAAGAUCCUGAGUCCUGUAACCCAUAUUUUUACAAGUGCCCAGGUACUCUAGCACUCGAUGUGGUCCUUGUUGACCCAGGCGACAACUGAUCCGAUGUCCAUCACAAAGACUAUCAAGAUCAAAGAGAUGCUCCUUACGAUUGUUUCAGUAUUCAUGACUGGAGGCCAUAAGAAACAGAUGAGGCUCCUGUUGAGUAAUUAUGUGCACAGUACUUGUGCAACUAAAGUGCUUUGUGUUGAUCCUUUUGCAAGAUGUACUUGUUACAUUUUACUGUUAGCAGAUGAUAGCUGUGUGCCACAGAUUAUCUGUAUUAUUAACUUCCAUUGUUUAUUGCAUUUUUUUACCAAGGAUUUCAUAACAAUUUUCUGCUAUUAUUUAUUUUAAUGUUCAUUGGGAAGGGCUUCUCCCCCCGCCCCCAGCUAGAAUGGGAGCAUUCUCCUUUCCCAAGUUAUGUUUUCCCAUAGAAAUAAAAAUAGCUCUGACAAACAUUCCUAAACAGCACCACUUUUUAAAAAGUUCUAUCUAUCUAUCUAUCUAUCUAUCUAUCUAUCUAUCUAUCUAUCUAUAUUUAUAGUUUCCUCAAGACAAUAUGGCACAAGGAAAAAUUAAAUGCAUAUUUUUUUAUAAACACAGACAGCAUUAUAUGAAAAGAGGAUUAUUAAUGGAACAACUUAAGCAAAGGCAUCAUCAUGACAACAAAUGGCUUAAAACAAUUUAUGUUAAGUGAUUUCAGCAUUCCACAGCAUCUUUGAAUACUACUGCAGACUGUGCAAUUCAUCCCACAAAUGGCGGCAAUUUCAGUGAGGAAUCAUUAUACAUCAUCCACAGCUUCUUUUUAUUAUUCAGUAUGUCAAAUUUGUUAUCAAAAGGGUUCUGCCAUUUCUGUUAUUAUAUGAUGUACAUAUCCAUAGCAUCAAAUUCAAAUGUAUCAAGUGCCAAACUCCUGAUUUGUUGAUUAUCCCUCAUCUGUAUCUAUGGAUAUUAUGGUUUAUUUAAAAAGUAACCACAACAAAUAUUUGUAAAAUGCCCUGCUUUUUUGACAUUUACUUUUGAUUAUAUCAUAGUCUUUUCAAACUUUUAUUUCUCUAUAGGACUUUGUGUGUGUGCUACCCCACUCCUCCCAUUCAUGAAAUGGUAUCCCUCCCAAAGAUAAUUGCAGCCCAUGGCAGUGAACUUAGUGGGAAGAGUGAGAGAAAAGUUCAUGGGGUUCACAGGAUCAAUGUUUAAGCAAAAGAAUAAUAGCCAAA